GAAGCCAUACUCUAGGUCAAUUGUUGGUGCUAUCCUGGAAGUCAUUCAGAAGCAAAACGGCCGAGAAAGCCGAAGUUACGACGAUGGCAGGCUAGGGAAGCUGCUCUGCGUGAAAUCAAAAAGAAGAGGAUUAAGAAAACAAAAGAUGAGAAGAAAGCCAAGAAAACAGAAAUGCCAAAUAGACAUAACAUCCAGCUUACACCUCUAACAGGAAUUCCAUCCAAGCCAUAUUCAAUAGAAACAAACUAACAGUUGUGCAUCCAUUUCUCUAAAACUGUCAUAACCAUAUAACAAACUGCCAACUGUCAUUGACCCUUCAUAACUUCCAACUCAUUCAUAACUCCCAACUAUCAACAACCUUCUAACAAAAACCUGCAUAAAAGAAAGCAAAAGCAUAACAGUGGAAAGGAGGCAAAAUAGAAGCAUAGCAUAAUAGAGAAUUGGAAACACUCACUGAAACCAGGACUAACUUCGUGUGAGAACCGACUCGGUAACUAACCUGCCAAGUGCCAUAACCGCCUCAUAACAGAAUGCUAACUGUUAAAAGAAAAAACCCUUUAAUAUAACCCUCAACAUAACUGACUCUAACCAAUUCCCUAAACUCUAACCAAUUCCCUAAAUUGCCUCAAUUGAACGAUUCUAGGAAAUUCCCAGCCUCCCUGCUAACCGAAAACUCCCAACAGAAAUUCCAACAAACUUCCUUUCCAAAAACCUGAACCAUGACUCAUCUCAGACUUUCCACCUCAUGGAAACUGCAUCAGUUCUGAGGACUCUCCCUAACCUUCUUCAAAAAACCAUUCUUUCCUCCAACUAACCUAACCGAAAUCUAACAACCUCUAACGGUUUUUCCUAACAACUUCUAACGAACCAAUUCACUAAACAGAAACAGAAAGAGAAGUAGAUGAGAGAAUUUCUAGGAUAAAUGAGGGAGUAAAUGAAACUCACAAAUUUUUGGG
This 956-nucleotide long non-coding RNA is filed under the name Lathyrus oleraceus (garden pea). RNAcentral's name for it is "Pisum sativum (pea) long non-coding RNA (PSAT_LNC038080)". Lineage: Eukaryota; Viridiplantae; Streptophyta; Magnoliopsida; Fabales; Fabaceae. The record is from RNAcentral.